GGAUAUCGCUAAAAGAUCCUAUUUCUGCUGCUCUCAACCGGACCUAGUCCCAGGCAAAGCACCUGGGUUUUCAGUUCAUAAAGCAGGGCCAGGAGAUAACUGCUACUAUUACAAAUAAUUGCCUGGAAAAAAAAAUGCAUUAGGAUUUAUUCCAGCUAUGUCAUGUUGCUCAACAUUACUGCUGGGUGUCUUAAUAAGAAUGUGAGGAAUUCAGACAUAUUUUGGGCUACCCACAAAAUAAAAGGUCAACCUCUGGUUUUCUAUUUUAACAAGGCAACUUGAGGAUAUAAAUCAUGAGCACCCUGAUGAAACUGGACGUUUGAUGAGAUCCGUAAUUUGCUCAGUUGCAAUAAAUCUGGUCUCCAACAGAGCACUGACACUGCACCAGGACCAGGGCCCCUCUACACCAGGCCAAAUAAACCCACGUGGAAAGAAACAGUCCUCACCUGAAUUAACCUGCAAGCUAAAUCAGUAGAAAAAAUAAAGGGAAAGUUAACAUCAGGAAUUACGGAAGGGACACAAGUCUUGCCAGCCUUACAGUGCUGUGUCUUAUUAAUGCAUCACACCUUUCUUUCCCAAGGCACAGCCAUGAUCUAAAUCUGCCUUCUCCCUUCCGAGUUCACACAUUCAGAUAGAGAUCAUCUCUUAUGCUCCCUGCAGUAAAAAUAGGGAUGAUUCCAAAGUGGAGCACCCGUCUCCAGUAACUGAACUGGAAGCCUACAGACUUACGUAUGUCCCCACUUUCCUCCUUGGGGGAAUAAUCAGGGCCUCGCAGGACGAUGGAAGGGAUUUUUGCAGAGGUACAUCCUCUCUGAAGGAACUGUCUCCUUCUACAACCCCCCUUUUUCCAUGGUGUCUCCAUCGCCAUUGUUUUUAACCUUGAUAAAUUGGCGCACACGGUCUUGUUUCUUCUUCCUGCAGUAAAUUACCUGCUUCAGUGCUGGUGCCACACACCAGAUGCACUCAACAUAUGGCACACGGAGGACUGCCAGAGAGGCCCAUUACGUCCUGAUGUUCAGUUCAUUUGAAAAGAUGUCAUGCAGCGUGAGCCCAGGCAGAAUUGCCACUCCCUCUGAGCUGUGAGCACUGGAGAAGGGUUUCACAUCACCGAUACCUCAGGCGUCUAGCUUAGGUGAAACCAAGGAUUUGAGCAAAGGACCUCAGCUCCUGUUGCAGGGGGAAGAGGAUGCUGCUGCUGAAGGAACAAGCCAGAGCACCUGAGAUAAAUCUGAAGUAGUCUAAAUGGAUCGUGCCCCCAUUUCCUCAGCUCAGGGCACUUCUCAGCUCAAGAAGAAGGUUACAUCCAGCCUUUUGGUACCGAAAGGGACGCGCUUGCAUCACAGCAGAGAAACAGCAGGGAGAAAUAGCACACGUCAACAUGCAGCAUUUCCUUCACCACCUAUGAAAACACCUUGAAGGGAUCCUUCACAAGAUACAGAAACACAAAAUAAAGCAAGUCGCCGUUAGAGGCUGUGCAGAGGAAAGGCUGAGCAGGGAAUGCAGAAGCAAUGUGUCCCUACAACAACAGUCAGCAUUUUAUCAACCUGGCCCAAAAGGUUCUCGAGGACUUCGAGAAGUGCUAACUUAUUGGCAAGCCAAAUCAUCACCUAUAAAAUAUUUACGCUUCUGACAGCCUUAUAAUCUGAAAUUCAGAAAGAGAGAUCUCCCCAGCAUUUUUCAGAAUGGGAAAGACAGCUGAGAAAUUAAAGAAGGGUGAUAAAGUUUUAGCAGAUAAUUGCAAAAAAGCAAGCUUGAAAACAGCCCGGCUAAAGAUACAUUACCCAGCAAAAUGGUCUCUUGCUGUUAUCAGAAUAAUCCUUAGGGGCAUCUUCAGUCCUAUAGAAUUUAAUAGGAAUGAAGCCCAAGAGGAUUUUGAAGCAAGUGCAUUAGAAGUCUGUAUUUGUUAUAGAAAAUGAUAACCUUUCUAUAGGGUUUUAGAAGCUCUCCAGCAGAAUUAUAUAGCAUAGCAAACAUUUCCUAUCACAUUUUGUAGGAUGAUUUAAAGUCUUUUUUUUUAAUGCCAGUGUUACAGAUACUGAAAAGAUCACUACUGUUUAUCUUAGAGAGGAAGAAAAUACCUAGUAGCAGAGGAAAAGUAUGAUGAAAUAAACCCUAGAGAAAAUAGGAUGAAAAUUUCCGUACACCCUUUUGUGAACUGUUAGGACAAAAAUAGCUUUUCAACAUCAUAUUCAGAUAUCAUGAAAAACAGGAGUCAACUCGUAUCGGAAAAAGGAGUCAGCAGAAAUCAAGAACAUUCAGAGUUAUGGGAUUAGCCCUGGAUUUGGGCUUCAGGGUCACAACGUAAAUAUUUUGUCAUGAAUUAAUUUAACAAAAUUGUUCAAGUAAUGGCAUCGGCAGCCUCUCCCCACAAUCAGACAUGAAAUUAAUAGGGAGAAAUUGUUACCUAAUGUUCAGUGAAUAGCAGUGGCUGGCUCUCUCCAAAUCUCAUUUCUACAAAGCUACUUUACAGCAGAGUACAGCAGUCUCCAAUUGGAGAUAAACAUCAGGCAAAGGCCUUUCUAUUUUGCCAAAGGAACAUAAAGGUGCCUUUUCAGAAAAUGAGAAAGUGCCUGUACUUUCGCUGCCAGCUCAGAGACCAGUGUACCUCAGCACCUAUUACAAAUCAAAGGCGUGACACUCUUUAACAUCAGUUCAAGGUUUUGUCCUUAAUAUUUAAAAGGACAGUCUGCGAUCCCAGGAAAUUCUUGUAAAUGUGAAUGCUUCGCGCACAAAUAUGCCGUGACAUGCCUCAAAUAUAGCUGUAUAGUGAGGGUUAAAAAACUGCCAGAGUCUAAAACGCUUUCAUGAAUUCAAAAAACAACAAAAAAACAGACGUCAAAAUCCUCCUUUCAUACGACUAUAUUGCUAGUACAUCAUUAGCUCCUGGGGACUUAUUUCUGAUUUGUAGCAGAGAAUGGGAGAAGUGAGACCUAUUUAUCUCCCUGCUGGAAAGUCUCUCCUACAUUAAAGAAAUCUUCUUAGCCCUUUGCUUUUUCUAUUGAGUUUUCAAAAGCAGAAAAUCUAGAAAAGCGUUAUACUCAUAACUAUUUUUUUUGCCUUUAGUAUUCAGUCUCUCACAAGGCUGCCAAUGCAGAAAUUAUAUUAAAAGCAGCAGCAAAUUAGGUUAGAGGAUUAAGGAACAGCAAAGCUUUUUGAGGUGUGUUGUGCAUCUGAUUUUCCCCUGCUUUUCACCUCAGGUGGAGAUUGCAGGUACUCGUGCAAAGCGAGCACACAACCUUGGAAAAGCAGCAGAGAGGCAAGUCUGCAGUCUGUAGUUAAUAUUACUCCACCAUCAAUAGGAAAAAUGUUAUGAAGGGGGGAAAAAAACAACGUCAGUUCCCUCCUAGUAGAAAGACCCAGGAAGGCAGAAGAGGUAAAGAGCUUGAUCAAACUCUAUGAAGUCUGGGAUCUGCUUCAUGAAAAUGAGUUCCACUUUCCUGUAGCACCGACUGCACCUAAGGAAAAGUGAAAACCCAAACAAGCAUCUCUCCCUAUGUAAGGUUAUCUGCAGUCUGUACAUCUCAGGCCAGCCUCACCCUUGCAUUUUGCCUUCAACCCAGAGUAGAUGCUAAAUUUUGAGAUGAGUCAAAGGGCAAGACCUUGUGUCUGUCUGUACACACACACGUGGUAUUGCAUUAACAACCCGUACCGAAAACCUUGAAAGUCAAAACA
Molecule: non-coding RNA, 3672 nt
Organism: Anas platyrhynchos (mallard)
Lineage: Eukaryota; Metazoa; Chordata; Aves; Anseriformes; Anatidae
Source: RefSeq, a predicted model, not a curated record